Molecule: non-coding RNA, 30 nt
Filed under: Homo sapiens (human)
Lineage: Eukaryota; Metazoa; Chordata; Mammalia; Primates; Hominidae
Source: RNAcentral
UUGAAGAAAGGAAUCAGAGCUGAAGAGCAU